CGCAGAAGUAGCAGUGACAAACUGGCCUCCACUCAAAACCAACAUGUCAAGGUUUCAACAUAAAUCGCUGUAUUUUUAGUUUUUUCAAUUUCAAAGAGCCAUUUGUUUUGGGGGUACUGUUAGCUUGACAUGGAAUCUGACAAAGGGACCGACAUGGGCCUGGUUCGAGCGAGCGUGUUUAACCAUGCAGGUGGUCUGUGACACUGAGGAAUUGAACAGUCUGGGCCGGGCAACAGAUUCCGACUGGCAAGUCGACGAGGGCGGAUGAAAAGACAGAGUUCCGCUAUCAUGGCUCUAGAGUGCCAAUAACGCGACCUACCCAUAUGGUUCUAUCCGUAAGAUGCUGCUUUGAGAUAUGUGCCAGUUUGUAAUUUACUAUGUUCUAUACAUUACGCAGAGGUGAUUAACAGAGAAGUAGUACAACAGUCUGAUUUUUUGGGACGUGACCGCUGAGACCUUUUUAUCUUUCUCUUCUCUCUGCUCUACCCUUUCUCUCUCUUUCUCUUCUCUCUGCUCUACUUUUUGUCAGUCACAUACGUAUUUUCUUUUCUUCUUCUCUUUCCUUUCCGGUGUAUUUUUUGCUUUUCUUUCUUUCUUUCUUUUCGGAUGAACUUUUGAAGUACCACCUAAUGUACCUCGUAAAUAUGUAGUACCUCGUUAGUACUUAGUAACUCGUUUUUAAGUAAAUUGUGAUACAUGAAAUGUACCUUCUAAGUUUUGAAGUACCUCGUGAAAAAAUAAAG
RNAcentral lists this long non-coding RNA (743 nucleotides) under Brachypodium distachyon (stiff brome). Its description in RNAcentral is "long non-coding RNA (BDIS_LNC000416)". The record is from RNAcentral. Lineage: Eukaryota; Viridiplantae; Streptophyta; Magnoliopsida; Poales; Poaceae.